This 499-nucleotide ribosomal RNA is filed under the name uncultured bacterium. RNAcentral's name for it is "partial 16S ribosomal RNA". It matches the Rfam family "Bacterial small subunit ribosomal RNA", at positions 899 to 1397 of the family's 1533-position model. The record is from RNAcentral.
ACUCAAAUGAAUAGACGGGGGCCCGCACAAGCGGUGGAGCAUGUGGUUUAAUUCGACGCUACGCGAAGAACCUUACCUGGGCUCGAACGACUGGUGGUAAAAGGGAUGAAAGUCCCAAUGACCCGCAAGGGAGCCAGCCGAGGUGCUGCAUGGUUGUCGUCAGCUCGUGUCGUGAGAUGUUGGGUUAAGUCCCGCAACGAGCGCAACCCCUAUCCUGUGUUGCUACCCGCAAGGGAGGACUCUCAGGAGACUGCCGCGGAUAACGUGGAGGAAGGUGGGGCUGACGUCAAAUCAUCAUGGCCUUUAUGUCCAGGGCCACACACGUGCUACAAUGGCGCGUACAACGGGAUGCAAAGCCGCAAGGUAGAGCCAAUCCCUCAAAGCGCGCCUCAGUUCAGAUUGUGGGCUGCAAUUCGCCCACAUGAAGGCGGAAUCGCUAGUAAUCGCAGAUCAGCAGGCUGCGGUGAAUACGUUCCCGGGCCUUGCACACACCGCCCGU